UGGCGGACUCUGGGAAGCGGGUGUCAA
RNAcentral lists this small RNA (27 nucleotides) under Bombyx mori (domestic silkworm). RNAcentral describes it as "ovarian small RNA-34899". Lineage: Eukaryota; Metazoa; Arthropoda; Insecta; Lepidoptera; Bombycidae. The record is from RNAcentral.